This 425-nucleotide ribosomal RNA is filed under the name uncultured bacterium. RNAcentral describes it as "bacterial SSU rRNA". It matches the Rfam family "Bacterial small subunit ribosomal RNA", at positions 80 to 537 of the family's 1533-position model. The record is from RNAcentral.
CAAUCCCUGAGUAAAGUGGCGACCGGGUGAGUAACACGUGACUAACCUACCCUCGAGUGUGGAAUAACCUCGGGAAACCGAGGCUAAUACCGCAUAAAAUCGAAAGAUCAAAGGAGCAAUCCGCUUUUGGAGGGGGUCGCGGCUGAUUAGCUAGUUGGUGAGGUAAUGGCUCACCAAGGCGAAGAUCGGUAUCCGGCCUGAGAGGGCGCACGGACACACUGGAACUGAAACACGGUCCAGACUCCUACGGGAGGCAGCAGUGGGGAAUUUUGCGCAAUGGGGGAAACCCUGACGCAGCAACGCCGCGUGGAGGAUGAAGCCCCUUGGGGCGUAAACUCCUUUCGACUGGGAAGAUUAUGACGGUACCAGUGGAAGAAGCACCGGCUAACUCUGUGCCAGCAGCCGCGGUAAUACAGAGGGUGCGA